Molecule: unclassified non-coding RNA, 424 nt
Filed under: uncultured Tricholomataceae
Lineage: Eukaryota; Fungi; Basidiomycota; Agaricomycetes; Agaricales; Tricholomataceae
Description: sequence contains ITS2
Rfam family: 5.8S ribosomal RNA (bases 1-154)
Source: RNAcentral
AACUUUUGGCAACGGAUCUCUUAGCUCUCGCAUCGAUGAAGAACGCAGCGAAAUUCGAUAAGUAAUGUGAAUUGCAGAAUUCAGUGAAUCAUCGAAUCUUUGAACGCACCUUGCGCUCCUUGGUAUUCCGAGGAGCAUGCCUGUUUGAGUGUCAUUAAAUUCUGAACCUUCCAGCUUUUAUUAGCUUGGUUAGGCUUGGAUGUGGGGGUUGUGGGCUUCAUUAAUGAGGUCAGCUCUCCUUAAAUGCAUUAGCGGAACUUUUGUGGACCGUCUAUUGGUGUGAUAAUUAUCUACGCCGUGGAUGUGAAGCAGCUUUAUGAAGUUCAGCUUCUAAUCGUCCAUUGACUUGGACAAUUUUUGACAAUUUGACCUCAAAUCAGGUAGGACUACCCGCUGAACUUAAGCAUAUCAAUAAGCGGAGGCU